RNAcentral lists this non-coding RNA (103 nucleotides) under Fusibacter sp. 3D3. RNAcentral describes it as "Fusibacter sp. 3-D3-R-P8ASC2010 TPP riboswitch aptamer (THI element)". It matches the Rfam family "TPP riboswitch aptamer (THI element)". Rfam says of the family: Vitamin B(1) in its active form thiamin pyrophosphate (TPP) is an essential coenzyme that is synthesised by coupling of pyrimidine and thiazole moieties in bacteria. The previously detected thiamin-regulatory element, thi box was extended, resulting in a new, highly conserved RNA secondary structure, the THI element, which is widely distributed in eubacteria and also occurs in some archaea. RNAcentral also lists the same sequence under 1 other name. The record is from Rfam by way of RNAcentral. Lineage: Bacteria; Bacillati; Bacillota; Clostridia; Eubacteriales; Fusibacteraceae.
GGAUUCACCUAGGGGUGCCUUUGGCUGAGAGCGUAGUUUGAUACGUAACCCUUUGAACCUGAACUAGGUAAAACUAGCGGAGGAAAGUGUGGAAAAACGAGUU